This 4686-nucleotide long non-coding RNA is filed under the name Daphnia magna. RNAcentral describes it as "uncharacterized LOC116917135". The record is from RNAcentral. Lineage: Eukaryota; Metazoa; Arthropoda; Branchiopoda; Diplostraca; Daphniidae.
GGGGAGCAGGCUGCCGUCACGGGCAGGUGAUCGAGAGGUGUGUGUGUACUUGUCGCUGCUAUUCGACACCGACAAAACAGAACAACGAAAAUCAACCUAUCCGUUUCUUCCCAUAGCACUGUCUCUUCCGGACGUGCCACAAAUGAAGGGGAAAACAAAAUAAAGAAAAGAACCAGUUUGGCCCGGUUGGAUUGCUCCAGCAUCUGCUAUUCGCAUUUCUUCACAUUUAUAUGGCAAAUAAUAUAGUCGAUAUAACAUGACAAACGAUACGCAUAGCUCUUCAUGGAGUCAGGACAUUACCCAGGACAGAAGUGAAAGUUUUUUUUUCCAUGGGAUUAUGCUGGACUUCUGAAAUUCACUGUUGUCAUUCGGGACUUUACUGUGCGUGUCGUCACGUUUCUCUGACGACCCUUGGCUUGGAUCUCACAGCUUGAUUUUGAGCUUACGUCAUCCCAGACACUAUAAUUAUCCAGACGCCAUUAAGGCUAUCACUGUGGACGUAACACUUGUGAUGCAACACACGUUUAGCAUUUUUCAAAGUAAGUUAUACCCAUUAGACGAUGAAUACAACUAGUUUAACAAGAUGUCUUACUCUCCACGUCAUUGCUCAUGAAAAUGGGAGAAUUGUCUUUUGAUUACCUGACUGGUUAAUUGGUUAUGUCGUUAGAUUUUUGCAAAGGUAUGACAAUUAUUUUUUGCUUAUCAUUUUUUAAGCGAAAUAAAAGUUGUGCUUAAAAUUUUGACUCGGAAUUUGAUAAAACUUAGUCUAUUACAAUAAAAAUUGAACGCUGGUUUCGGUAAAAUCUUUGUUUUCUCAUUAGUCGCGUAUGACAAUUAUUUAGUGUCAUUUUUUGUCCCCACACCCGCAUUUUAUCCGUCACUCAACCUUGUAACCCAGCUGUAUGAUAAAUACCCAAGCAAUUGCUAUUUGCUAUUUUCUGAUGCUAUUUCUAAAAGUUAAAGAUAUUUUGCUAAAGCUAUUUGUUAUCGCUAUCCUUCCCAGCCAUGCUACCAUCUAGCGCUAGAUGAUACAAACUGAAUAGGCAACGCCACGUUGAAAACGUCGUAUUAUUUUCUGAAGUAUACCCGACGCCAUUAUGACUGUUGGAUCUCUCUGAAAAUGUUGUUCAGGUGAUGCAAACGGGUAUACAAAAGAUGAAAUAUGAUAUUGGUCAGAAGCUGAACAUAUUAAGCCAGGCAGGCAUUCCCAACUGGAGUUGCGAAAGUCAGUGGAACGAUGCUCGUUAGGUGACGGAGAACAGGAUAAUUGCACUUCUACCGUACGAUGAGUAAUCAGUUGACGAGAAGGUUUAGAACGGGGGGUUUUUGACCCCAUCGGGGGUUUGGGGGGAACCCCUGGAUGUGAAAGGCCUUGACACCAGUCGACACUGAAGCCUAGAACCAUGAUUCACCGAUGAAAUGUGGAAUUCCCGGUUUAUCAAAAACUUGCACCGGACAGCUAUGACAAGCAGACAAAUUUGUGACAGUAGAUUAUCGAGAAAUUUGUUGGAGAGGUGUUAAGCGGGAAGCUAAUAAAUGUUAAUUGCGUUCCGUUUUUAACAUUCUUUUGGCCACUCGUUAAUACACUGAAAUUUGCAAUUUUUUCGUAACAACCUGAGGGACAGUCUUUUUCACGACACACUAUUGUUUGGAGGUUUAUUUUCACUGGACGUCAUUUGAAUGGUGCAGUUCCUAUCCGCAGCCCUACAGUUUCCAAAAAUAGGCAGUGGAAAAAAUCUGCUCAUUGUGCUGAUCUGCAUAAUGAUUCAUGACUACACAUUAUUAAAAGAUAGCUGUGUAGCUGUGGACUUCCUUUAGAUGACGUAAAUAUUUUCCUGCUUCUUGGAAAAAGGAACAUAAGAUGUCUUGAUGCCAAUCAAGUGUUUUUAAAAGAUUUUUAAGCAGGAUAAACCUAAAGUUGGAGGACAAUACAUCCGUUUCCUGUUAUUAGUUUUGUAAAACAAAUGGUUAUUGGUUGCAGAGUCAGAGACUAAUGUUUGGAAUCUGAAAUUCUAGCCCUCAAAAUUCCAGCUGCCCUUCUGCUUUAACAAGGGUGUAAAGCAAAUAUUAUUUCAGGAGGUCCAAACUCAGUUUACGAAGCAGAUGCCCCACUAUACGACAGAGCAAUCUUUACUUGUUAUCUUUUAGUGCCGGGAAUUUGUUAUGCAUGCAAUUACUCAUCAAGGAAUUGGGUGAAACGGUGGAGAGAAAAGGUGUUUGCGAAGAAGGGCAAUUCGAGAUCCAAGUAGAAACGGAGUGCCCACUGUUAAAAGGGUUAGAGACUCGAUAAAUGGCAUUACUGACCCAGGGUGACGGCGUAGACAAGGUUGCAGAAAAACCUUGGUCAUAAUAUUUCCGCUAUUGCUGAUACUGAAUGCCGUCUUUACGGAAUCCAGUUCCAUGAUUUGACUGAAAACGGACGAAAAAUUUUGCAUAACUUCGUGUUCAACAUUUGUGGAUUGCAAGGAUGUUUCACAUUGGAGAAACGCGAGCAACAGUGUAUCGAUUACAUCCGGCGUACGGUUCCUAGGAGGUCGUCAUUAUUUUAUACCAAGUCGGGCUCAAUCUUCGGGUAAUUUGAGAUACUUUUCUGGACCGUUCAGAAUCUUAUGAUUGGCUAAAAUUUGAAACGAAAUUAAUUGAUACGUCGUCCUGUCACAUCUCAAAUUCUAUGGUUUAUAAUUCUUGUUCCAUGACCGAGUUCUUUUACAGACAGGGGCUUCUCAUUUCUUCUUCAUACCAGCAAUCAGAUUUUAUGUUUCGAAUGGUUUGAGGUUGUUAAAGCAAGUUUGACUUUCUACGAUGCUUCCACCAACGUGCAUGCUCGCAAAACUUUGUCGUUGUGUUGGACUGUUAAUCCGGAAGAAAAACGUUGAAUUAUUGGCGAUACCCCGAUACGUUUGUCAAAGUUGCAGGUAGAACGGCUAACAAUUUAAAUCUCACUUGGGAUAAUCAAUUUCUCGGACAAGAUUUCAACCUUCUGUUUUUUUCAUGUAUUAUAUUACCUAAUGUUCAGUGUCAUCAUAUAUGAAAAUAUUGCAGGUACUUUGAGACCGGAUUUAAUUUUAGAAAUUUAACUGAAUUUUAACAUUUUGAAAAUGUGGUAUAUGUUCACAAAUAUUUAAGAUCUAUUCAGAGUGAUACCAUAAAGUAUGGCUGUAGAAAAGGGUACUUAGGCUUCUAAAAAUGAAGAACAGCUCUGACGUCUUUGGUAAUUGAAAAAGGUACUGCAACGAGAAGCGUCACAUGACGGUUUUAAGGAUGGACUCUUUAGUUUGCUUUACCUAAUGAUUCUUUGCCUGUCAGUGGCCCCCAAUCUUUAAUCUUAAAACCCAGAGGUUUUCUUCUUUUUUCAGGGGGAUUGAUUGGCGAUACUUGUUGUUGGAACCAUGAAGAUUACCAAAAGAUGGAUAAAUCGAGGGUUAUAAAAGUAUAAAACUGUAAUUUCUCAUGGCAUUUUGAUUUACGCAUGCGCGACAGUUCGUGAGCAGACGAAUCAUUGAAAGAGCCUUGCGCAGUAUAGCUGCAUACAGAUACAUCUAGAUACUAGUAGAACCCGAAAAAUUCUUUUGACAAGUACUGCCAUAUUUUGGUUGCAGGUUUUCACUAAAUACCAAGUAAGUAAGGGGUUUAAUCGUGUUAAAUGUAUGAUUUUUCGAUUCAAGUUUAUUUAGGUGUCAGAACUGAAAUUGUACUUUUAGAACUUUUAAAAUACCGCAUAGCUUUUUGCUAACAAUAAUUUGCUUUUACAACUAUCAAAAUCUUGUUAACCAUUUAAAGGAACAAAGCUCACUUUUUAGAUUUCUGAAAUUUCAACUUCUGGUUUUACUUCCGGUUUUUAAAUGUCAAAUAAUUCCUUAUUUGUUGGUCUGUCAGAAAAAAUAUUCAUAUUUUCGUGAUCCUCGUCAAAUUUGGGAUCGACUUCGUGGGUCAGCUCAAAAUACCCGAAAAUCGUCAAAAAUCGCGAUUUUGGUCAAAUCCGACUUCUGGCUAAAACCACGUCAUUUCAACCCCAAAUUUGAUAAGGAUCACGAAAAUUCUACUCGUUUUGUUAUGGAAUCACUAUUUUCGGAGAUAGUGGCUACUUCCGGUUACUUCCGGAAAAUUUUCGUGACAAUCUGCAAAAAGUAAAAAAUGAGCUGUAUUGUUCUAACAAUUUCAAACACUUUUCUCGCAUGCGUUAGGGUGUGGCUGCUAUUAUUCCGUGUCUUUCUUGCUUUCAACACUACAGGCUGAUCCUACGAGCUACGACAGUUUUACCCAUAAAGGUUUAGCGUCUCGUGUUGCAUCUUGCAUCUAGUAGUUGAUAAUCUAGGAUAAGCAAAAUUCAAGCAUGUAAAAGCAAGUAUUGUAAUUAUUUCAACAUUCAAAGUAAAAUAUUAUUUUUGGUUCUAGGUGGAAACUCUAGAUGGCGCUGGUGUGAGUAUAUUAUGAAGAUUACGAGUGACAAGUUAAAUGGAUGUUUCUUACGUUAUUACCCUGUUUUGUGUUUCAAAGGAUUCUUUGUAAAAAAAUUUACCGCAUGUUGUUAUCUAUUCAGUACUCAACGGCUCCCGGUGUUCGCGAAGUUCCCGUUAGCCUUAGAAAACAAAAAUCACGCGGUAUUAUCAUAAUUGAACACUGAUUUCACUUAAGUUAUUGGUUUUCUCGUCUAACCAGCCAUUUUUUUAAAUAAACAAAAAUAAG